ACUCUUUCUCAAGGGCUUCUAG
Molecule: microRNA, 22 nt
Filed under: Vitis vinifera (wine grape)
Lineage: Eukaryota; Viridiplantae; Streptophyta; Magnoliopsida; Vitales; Vitaceae
Description: vvi-miR477b-5p
Gene: vvi-miR477b-5p
Source: miRBase by way of RNAcentral